UCCCCGUUAUCCUGGGCUCGAACGGCUGGACCCCCUUGCGGGGUAGCGAUGUUUCCAUCGCCGUUGACCAGCCGUUCGAGCCCAGGUAAGGUUCUUCGCGUUGCGUCGAAUUGAACCACAUGCUCCACCGCUUGUGCGGGCCCCCGUCAAUUCCUUUGAGUUUCAGCCUUGCGACUGUACUCCCCAGGCGGCAUAUUUAACGCGUUAGCUCCGGCACAGACAGAAUGAACUGCCCACACCAAAUAUGCAUCGUUUAGGGCGUGGACUAC
Molecule: unclassified non-coding RNA, 269 nt
Filed under: uncultured Bryobacterales bacterium
Lineage: Bacteria; Pseudomonadati; Acidobacteriota; Terriglobia; Bryobacterales
Description: contains 16S-23S intergenic spacer region
Source: RNAcentral